GCCUGGAUGGCUCAGUUGGUUAGAGCGCAGGUCUCAUAUGUCAAGUAUGACCACCCCAGCGGUGGGCAAUCCUGAGGUCGUGAGUUCGAUCCUCACUCCGGGCA
Trametes coccinea BRFM310 is the source of this 104-nucleotide non-coding RNA. The record is from the annotation of a GenBank genome assembly. NCBI's taxonomy places the organism in Eukaryota, Fungi, Basidiomycota, Agaricomycetes, Polyporales, Polyporaceae.